RNAcentral lists this ribosomal RNA (599 nucleotides) under Xylariales sp. F15195. Its description in RNAcentral is "eukaryotic LSU rRNA". It matches the Rfam family "Eukaryotic large subunit ribosomal RNA", at positions 1 to 609 of the family's 3401-position model. Lineage: Eukaryota; Fungi; Ascomycota; Sordariomycetes; Xylariales. The record is from RNAcentral.
UUGACCUCGGAUCAGGUAGGAAUACCCGCUGAACUUAAGCAUAUCAAUAAGCGGAGGAAAAGAAACCAACAGGGAUUGCCCUAGUAACGGCGAGUGAAGCGGCAACAGCUCAAAUUUGAAAUCUGGCCUUCUGGUCCGAAUUGUAAUUUGUAGAGGAUGCUUUUGGUUAGGUACCUUCCGAGUUCCUUGGAACAGGACGCCUUAGAGGGUGAGAGCCCCGUACGGUUGGAUACCGAGCCUCUGUAAAGCUCCUUCGACGAGUCGAGUAGUUUGGGAAUGCUGCUCUAAAUGGGAGGUAAAUUUCUUCUAAAGCUAAAUAUUGGCCAGAGACCGAUAGCGCACAAGUAGAGUGAUCGAAAGAUGAAAAGCACUUUGAAAAGAGGGUUAAAUAGUACGUGAAAUUGUUGAAAGGGAAGGGCUUAUGACCAGACCUUUGCCUUGCGAAUCAUCCGGUGUUCUCACCGGUGCACUUCGCUUGGUUGAGGCCAGCAUCAGUUCUGGCAGUGGGAUAAAGACUUUAGGAAUGUGACUCCCCCGGGAGUGUUAUAGCCUAUUGUGUAAUACCAUUGCUGGGACUGAGGACCGCGCUCGGCUAGGAU